Molecule: ribosomal RNA, 259 nt
Filed under: uncultured bacterium
Lineage: Bacteria
Description: partial 16S ribosomal RNA
Rfam family: Bacterial small subunit ribosomal RNA
Source: RNAcentral
CGGGCGGACGGGUGAGUAACGCGUGGAUAACCUGCCGUAUACUGGGGGAUAACACUUAGAAAUAGGUGCUAAUACCGCAUAAGCGCACAGUCUCGCAUGAGACGGUGUGAAAAACUCCGGUGGUAUACGAUGGAUCCGCGUCUGAUUAGCUUGUUGGCGGGGUAACAGCCCACCAAGGCGACGAUCAGUAGCCGGCCUGAGAGGGUGAACGGCCACAUUGGGACUGAGACACGGCCCAAACUCCUACGGAAGGCAGCAG